Long non-coding RNA from Mytilus californianus (California mussel), 644 nucleotides. RefSeq lists it as uncharacterized. The record is from RefSeq and is a predicted model, not a curated record. The transcript is spliced from 3 exons. Lineage: Eukaryota; Metazoa; Mollusca; Bivalvia; Mytilida; Mytilidae.
GUAUUGCUUUAAUUAUUAUUUACUUAUAGCGCAAUCCAGAAGAAAUUUUCAAUGGGAAAACCCUUCUUAAAACCCCCUAUCUUAUCGAAAUGUUUAGGAUGUUCAGAUGAAGAAAAAAGAAGAAAAGAGAGUGUGACGUGACGAGAAAAAAAUACUCUGCCCUUUCUUAAAAGUUUUGGGAGAUAGACUUAUGGAUAACAGAAAAGAAAAUGAUGUUGAAGUGGUUUUUCAAAACUUGAUUAAAACAACGGAUUGUGCUGUGGAAUUAAAAAAGUUAAUUCGCAUACUUACUGCCCGAAUUAAGAAUUUGCAAGAUGACAUAUCGAAAGAACCGAAAAAUAUUGAACAGACACAUAAUUGCUUUUCGGAAAGAAUGGUGGAAACAGCAAAGCAUCUACACGAAGUCACAAGUCUUGCCACAGAAUUACAAAAUAACAUUCAAAAAUUGAACAUUGAGCUUUCAAUUAAACCAAUAUUCGAGAACAGAAAGGAAGACAAAUUAUUCAAGCAACAGACAGCGGAUUUGACAGUGCAGCUUACAGUGCCACUUCAAAUGUUAUCAAUAGUGACGUCUUCGGUGGAAUACAAGAUACAAACCCACCAGAAAAUACGUGCCAGUCUUGUUCGUCCCUUUCACUGGAGGC